Molecule: long non-coding RNA, 553 nt
Filed under: Bos taurus (domestic cattle)
Lineage: Eukaryota; Metazoa; Chordata; Mammalia; Artiodactyla; Bovidae
Description: long non-coding RNA NONBTAT020409
Source: RNAcentral
UUAACAAGUCUAAAUAACACCUGGUCCAGACUAAAGGACUAGAAGAAGCCUUCCCUCAGGACUGAAGGUACUCAAAGUAACGGACAUAAGAACAAACUCUGUGGAAAGAGGGUAACAUGGAAGAAUAGUAACAAAUAAUACAAGAAAAAUGGCAAUUACAGACAAACCAAGAGCCAGUACAGGAAAUGUAACUGUGUUCUCCUUGUCUCUGCUAUGAACAAUAUUUAUACCACCACAAUAAUGUAGAAACUAUUCAUCAAUUCCCUACUAUUAAAACCAAGCCAGAGGCAAAGUAAAGUAUAAGGAAGAACAGAACAGAAUACAAACGACCUCAACCUUGAGAAUCCAAAGCAGAAAUGACAGACAUGAUGGCAUAAAGAAGAAAAGAAAUGUGAGAAGAGAUAGCAGUAACAGCUUCAGAAGCAACAGCCUGCUGGGAAAUCAAGAUAAACAAUCCAUAUAAACAUGAAGAAAAAACUAUUAUAUUACAUAUAUUGCAAAGAGAACAGGGGAAUUAAAAGUGAUACACCUACUAGGUAACUAAACAAACAAA